This 492-nucleotide ribosomal RNA is filed under the name uncultured bacterium. Its description in RNAcentral is "partial 16S ribosomal RNA". It matches the Rfam family "Bacterial small subunit ribosomal RNA", at positions 29 to 507 of the family's 1533-position model. The record is from RNAcentral.
AGUGAACGCUGGCGGUAGGCCUAACACAUGCAAGUCGAACGGCAGCACAGUAAGAGCUUGCUCUUACGGGUGGCGAGUGGCGGACGGGUGAGGAAUACAUCGGAAUCUACUUUUUCGUGGGGGAUAACGUAGGGAAACUUACGCUAAUACCGCAUACGACCUACGGGUGAAAGCAGGGGGUCUUCGGACCUUGCGCGACUGAAUGAGCCGAUGUCGGAUUAGCUAGUUGGCGGGGUAAAGGCCCACCAAGGCGACGAUCCGUAGCUGGUCUGAGAGGAUGAUCAGCCAAACUGGAACUGAGACACGGCCCAGACUCCUACAGGAGGCAGCAGUGGGGAAUAUUGGACAAUGGGCGCAAGCCUGAUCCAGCCAUACCGAGUGGGUGAAGAAGGCCUUCGGGUUGUAAAGCCCUUUUGUUGGGAAAGAAAAGCAGCAGGUUAAUACCCCGCUGUUCUGACGGUACCCAAAGAAUAAGCACCGGCUAACUUCGUG